GUGGAAUUUAUGGUAUUUUCAAUUGAAUUUUUGAAAUUAAAAAUAUGAUAGGAAAAAAUACUCAGUAUAAGGUACGAAAGAUAAGACAGAGGAGAUGUCCCAGAAAGUAGAGCAAAAUGAAAAAGUAAUGAAAUUAGGGGGAAAAAAAAUGUAAGGAAAUUAAAUGGCUGGGCCAAAAUCCCAGCAACAGAAAUUCUAGAAAGAGAAAAAAGAAAAAAGUAGUAGAUAGAGGUAAAGUGUCAAACUACAUGUCUAUAAGUUCUACAAAAACUUACCAGAACACAGAGACUCAAAAUAGAUUCCCAUUGUGAAACUGCAGAAUGCUGGGGAUAAAGAAAAGAUUUUAUAAGCUUCUAAAGUGUAAGAGAGGAAAAAAACAGUUUUCACACAGAAUCAGGAAUCAGAAUAGUACUGAACUUUUCAGUUGUAAUAACAAAAACCAGACAGCAAAGAAUCAAUGCCUUAAAAAUUCUGAGAAAAUAAUUCCUAAAUUAGAAUUAUAUUAAUUGUGAGAGUAAAAUAUCUCUGUGUCCCUUUUCUUAGGAAGGUAUUGAAGAAUGUGCUCUACCAAAAUGAAAGAAUAAACCAAAAAGGAAGAAGAUGUGGGAUCAAGGAAAAGAAGAUGAAAAAUGCAGAGAUAAAAUAAAAAAGGGAAGAAAGAGCAGGAUAGAGAGGCUUAAAUUGCAAAACAAAAUAUUACUUUGGGAGAUUGGUUCUUAUACAUAUGAAGAAUCAGGCUCAGUUAAUCAAUCCAUCGAGAAGGUUUAUUCUUAUUUACAUUUCAAGUGAUAAUAAAUACUGUAAUUAAGGAGAUGCCAGUCAGACACUGAAAGAAUAAAUUAUGAAUUAAUGUUAUAGGUGUAUUUUAAACUGUUACCAGGUUUCUAAAUGCCUAUUUAAGAGAAAUUUGGACCUACACGCUGAGAUAUGAAUGCAGAAUCACUAACCCAAGGACCAUAAUGGGGUAAGUUGCCAAACCUGACAACUCCUGCCAACUACAGUGUCUCCUUCCAAGUAAAAGGCAUGAAAUGGCUUUCUUUUCCUGCAAUAGUUGCAACAAAUUCCUGUUUGAAUGAAAUCGGUUCCUCUUUUGCCUCCCUACAAUCCAUUCUUCUACACAAAAGCCAGAUUACUUAUUUAAUUUGUAUAUUCAUUUAAAUAUUUCUAUACCAAGAGCUAUAUUAACAAUUAUACGUUAGUUAUAAAGCAAUCCAAGACCAGAACAUUACCAGUAAUUUGCAUUUACCUCCACCAUUGCAUCCACCUGCCUCUUACCUGAGGAAAUACUCUUACUGCUGUAUUUAUCAUCUCCUUGCCUUUUUUCUUUUUCUUUUUCUUUUUUUGGCAGCCCCAUGUCACAUGGAGUUCCCGAGCCAGAGAUCAGAUCUGAGCCACAGUUGCAACCUACGACACAGCUACAGCAAUGAUGGAUCCUUUAACCCACUGCACUGGGCCAGGGGUCAAACCUGCAUCUGUUGCUACAGAACCACUGAUCCCGUUGCACCACAGGAGGAACUCUUCCUUUCCUUUUUUGGCAUAGUUUUAUCACAUUAUGCCUGAACAAAAUAUUACCUAGUUUUGCUUGUUUAUUAACUUUAUCAGUGAUGUACAUAACUAUAGUUUAUUCAUUUUCCCAAGUGUAUAAUGUUGCAAUAUGUGACUAUGCACAAUUUAUCCUGUCAAUGGACAUUUAGAUGAUUUCCCGGUGGAUUUUUGUUUUGUUUUGUUUUUUGCUAUUGUAAACACUGCUAAUCUCAAAAUUCUAAUUCAUAGCUCCUUGUACAAGAGUUUCUCUACCUAGGAAUACAAUUGCUGGAUUGUAUAGU
This 1826-nucleotide long non-coding RNA is filed under the name Sus scrofa (pig). Its description in RNAcentral is "lncRNA (ENSSSCG00040000741.1)". Lineage: Eukaryota; Metazoa; Chordata; Mammalia; Artiodactyla; Suidae. The record is from RNAcentral.